AACACUUCGUGUUUGUAGUGGAAAUCCUUUGGUUUUUUUUCAAAAAGCAAAGAUUGCAAUGGAUAGCGGGAUUAGCU
Molecule: small RNA, 77 nt
Filed under: Flavobacterium terrigena
Lineage: Bacteria; Pseudomonadati; Bacteroidota; Flavobacteriia; Flavobacteriales; Flavobacteriaceae
Description: Flavo-1 RNA
Rfam family: Flavo-1 RNA
Source: RNAcentral